ACAGAAAUAGCUCAGUGGUAGAGUGCAUGCUUAGUGUGCAAGAGGUCCUAGGUUCAAUCCCCAGUAUCUCCA
This 72-nucleotide transfer RNA is filed under the name Camelus bactrianus (Bactrian camel). It matches the Rfam family "tRNA". Rfam says of the family: Transfer RNA (tRNA) molecules are approximately 80 nucleotides in length. Their secondary structure includes four short double-helical elements and three loops (D, anti-codon, and T loops). Further hydrogen bonds mediate the characteristic L-shaped molecular structure. tRNAs have two regions of fundamental functional importance: the anti-codon, which is responsible for specific mRNA codon recognition, and the 3' end, to which the tRNAs corresponding amino acid is attached (by aminoacyl-tRNA synthetases). tRNAs cope with the degeneracy of the genetic code in two manners: having more than one tRNA (with a specific anti-codon) for a particular amino acid; and 'wobble' base-pairing, i.e. permitting non-standard base-pairing at the 3rd anti-codon position. RNAcentral also lists the same sequence under 1 other name. Lineage: Eukaryota; Metazoa; Chordata; Mammalia; Artiodactyla; Camelidae. The record is from Rfam by way of RNAcentral.